Molecule: non-coding RNA, 48 nt
Filed under: Rhodosorus marinus
Lineage: Eukaryota; Rhodophyta; Stylonematophyceae; Stylonematales; Stylonemataceae
Source: RNAcentral
CACUUUGAGGAAAGUCCGAGCCUCGAAAAGCAAGAUCGCUUGGUAAGG